UACGUAGGUCCCGAGCGUUGUCCGGAUUUAUUGGGCGUAAAGCGAGAGCAGGUGGUUUAUUAAGUCUGGUGUAAAAGGCAGUGGCUCAACCAUUGUAUGCAUUGGAAACUGGUAGACUUGAGUGCAGGAGAGGAGAGUGGAAUUCCAUGUGUAGCGGUGAAAUGCGUAGAUAUAUGGAGGAACACCGGUGGCGAAAGCGGCUCUCUGGCCUGUAACUGACACUGAGGCUCGAAAGCGUGGGGAGCAAACAGG
This 252-nucleotide ribosomal RNA is filed under the name uncultured bacterium. Its description in RNAcentral is "partial 16S ribosomal RNA". It matches the Rfam family "Bacterial small subunit ribosomal RNA", at positions 524 to 776 of the family's 1533-position model. The record is from RNAcentral.